CAGCCGCCGCGGUAAUACGAAGGGUGCAAGCGUUAAUCGGAAUUACUGGGCGUAAAGCGUGCGUAGGCGGUGAGUUAAGUCUGCUGUGAAAUCCCCGGGCUUAACCUGGGAAUGGCAGUGGAUACUGGCUCGCUAGAGUGUGUCAGAGGAUGGUGGAAUUCCCGGUGUAGCGGUGAAAUGCGUAGAGAUCGGGAGGAACAUCAGUGGCGAAGGCGGCCAUCUGGGACAACACUGACGCUGAGGCACGAAAGCGUGGGGAGCAAACAGGAUUAGAUACCCCCGUAGUCCCUGUCUCUUAUAC
RNAcentral lists this ribosomal RNA (301 nucleotides) under uncultured bacterium. Its description in RNAcentral is "partial 16S ribosomal RNA". It matches the Rfam family "Bacterial small subunit ribosomal RNA", at positions 509 to 807 of the family's 1533-position model. The record is from RNAcentral.